This is a long non-coding RNA of Physella acuta, 701 nucleotides long. RefSeq lists it as uncharacterized. The record is from RefSeq and is a predicted model, not a curated record. Lineage: Eukaryota; Metazoa; Mollusca; Gastropoda; Physidae.
UACCCUAGUUAAGUUUAUUAGUAAGAGCUAGUAAUGCCUAGUAAGGCUAACCUGUUUUUAAUUUUAAAUUAAUUUUUUUUAUAUCUAGAAUCUAGACUAGAUCUACUCUAGCUAUUUACUAGAUCUAGAUCAGUAGCCAGUAGAGUGAUUAGAGUAGUAGUAGAGUGUAGUGUAGAGUACUGUAGACUAUUGUAGAGUGUAGGUACUAAUAACUAGACUGAAACUAAAUUAGACUAGAAUCUAGGUCUAGAUACAUUUAGGGCUUACAGACUUAUCAGACUACAGUGUUGCAAUGAGUAGAUCUAGUAAUAUAUAGAUUUAAGAUUAAAUUUAGUUUGAAAUUGUUACAGUAGUGCUACUACUUUUCUAAGUAGUAAGUAGUGUAGACUACUAGAAGAGCAAGAUGAUAGAUCUCCAUCAAGCUACAAUAGAGUUUAGUUAGUAGUUAGUUAGUCAUAGUAAUAGUACCAAAAGCAGUGUACUUGGCAAGCAAUUUUCUCACACUUUACUGUGGCUAUUGGUGCUGAUCUUGAACUAAAGGUAAAUGGAACAGCAUGGAUGUGGAUUUUUAGACACAAGGAAGCUGAAUUUAACUUUUAAUGAAGAAUUUAAAUGAUGAUUGUCCAUGAAAAGAAAUAUUAAUCAUAUACAUUGUAAUGCUGUAUUGAUGCAUCUUCUGUUUUAAGUAAUUAAAAAACCAU